GUGGAUUAGAUACCCUGGUAGUCCACGCUGUAAACGAUGGGCACUAGGUGUGGGGGGUGUCGACUCCCUCCGUGCCGAAGCUAACGCAUUAAGUGCCCCGCCUGGGGAGUACGGCCGCAAGGCUAAAACUCAAAGGAAUUGACGGGGACCCGCACAAGCAGCGGAGCAUGUGGUUUAAUUCGACGCAACGCGAAGAACCUUACCUGGGCUUGACAUGUUCCUGACAGCUCUGGAAACAGAGUCUCCCUUCGGGGCAGGAUCACAGGUGGUGCACGGCUGUCGCCAGCU
This 288-nucleotide ribosomal RNA is filed under the name uncultured bacterium. Its description in RNAcentral is "partial 16S ribosomal RNA". It matches the Rfam family "Bacterial small subunit ribosomal RNA", at positions 773 to 1060 of the family's 1533-position model. The record is from RNAcentral.